AUUGAACGCUGGCGGCAUGCCUUACACAUGCAAGUCGAACGGCAGCACGGGAGCAAUCCUGGUGGCGAGUGGCGAACGGGUGAGUAAUAUAUCGGAACGUGCCCAGUCGUGGGGGAUAACGCAGCGAAAGCUGUGCUAAUACCGCAUACGAUCUAUGGGUGAAAGCGGGGGAUCGCAAGACCUCGCGCGAUUGGAGCGGCCGAUAUCAGAUUAGCUAGUUGGUGAGGUAAAGGCUCACCAAGGCGACGAUCUGUAGCUGGUCUGAGAGGACGACCAGCCACACUGGAACUGAGACACGGUCCAGACUCCUACGGGAGGCAGCAGUGGGGAAUUUUGGACAAUGGGCGAAAGCCUGAUCCAGCAAUGCCGCGUGCAGGAUGAAGGCCUUCGGGUUGUAAACUGCUUUUGUACGGAACGAAACGGUGAGCUCUAAUACAGUUUGCUAAUGACGGUACCGUAAGAAUAAGCACCGGCUAACUACGUGCCAGCCGCCGCCGUAA
Molecule: ribosomal RNA, 500 nt
Filed under: uncultured bacterium
Lineage: Bacteria
Description: partial 16S ribosomal RNA
Rfam family: Bacterial small subunit ribosomal RNA
Source: RNAcentral